CCUACGGGAGGCAGCAGUGGGGGAUCUUGCACAUUGGGGGGAACCCUGAUGCAGCGACGCCGCGUGGGUGAAGGAGCGUUUCGGCGCGUAAAGCCCUAUCGGCAGGGAAGAAGAAGGACGGUACCUGACUAAGAAGCCCCGGCUAACUACGUGCCAGCAGCCGCGGUAAUACGUAGGGGGCAAGCGUUAUCCGGAUGUACUGGGGGUAAAGGGGGCGCAGACGGCAGCGCAAGCCAGGAGUGAAAGCCUGGGGCCCAACCCCGGAGCUGCUCGGGGAACUGCGCGGCUGGAGUGCAGGAGGGGCAGGCGGAAUGCCUGGUGUAGCGGUGAAAUGCGUAGAUAUCAGGAGGAAAACCGGGGGCGAAGGCGGCCUGCUGGACUGCGACUGACGUUGAGGCCCGAAAGCGUGGGGAGCAAACAGGAUUAGAUACCCCAGUAGUC
This 441-nucleotide ribosomal RNA is filed under the name uncultured bacterium. RNAcentral describes it as "partial 16S ribosomal RNA". It matches the Rfam family "Bacterial small subunit ribosomal RNA", at positions 338 to 795 of the family's 1533-position model. The record is from RNAcentral.